Schizosaccharomyces pombe (fission yeast) is the source of this 643-nucleotide non-coding RNA. The record is from the annotation of a GenBank genome assembly. Lineage: Eukaryota; Fungi; Ascomycota; Schizosaccharomycetes; Schizosaccharomycetales; Schizosaccharomycetaceae.
UUAUUGCGUUGCAGUAUUUUAAUCGUCGUUAUAAUAAUGCAUUAAGUGAAAUUUAAAUUAAAAGAAAAUACCUAUUUGAGAAUUAGAGAGGGAUUACAUGACUAGGAAGGUUGAGUUUUAAAGUCAUUCUCUCUUAUUUCAAGUUUUUGUUUAGUGGGUAAUUGUGCUUUUCUGGCUUAAAAAUAAUCUUUGUUGUACAAACUGCUUUGGAUCUUUUAUUAAAGAUUGGUGAUUUUCGAAUAAGUAAUUUUUAAAUACAUUUAUUAUUCUGCUUUCUGUGACAAUGUACCAAGGAUUAAAACAUCUUGACACAGCAAAUCUAAAUACUAAAAGUACCUAAUUUUUGAAGUCUAAGGCUGUGCUCAGGGCCUAAGAUUAAUGGUUUCAUUUAGAAAAAUUUAAUGACAGUUGAAUAUUUGUUAAAUUCAAUGAAAUUUUAUUCACCGAUUAACUUGCCUUACAAAGACUUCAUACCAAAUGAUGUUGAAAAAAAUGGUUCAAGCUAGUAAAUCCAAAUCAAUUGAAAGAUUCUGCUUUUAGAAAGGCGUAAAAAGGCUUCUUCUAAGGUACCCAGCUUCACCCUAUACUAAUUUUAGUAAAUUACUUGCGUGAGCCUUCAUAAUAAAUACUAGGAAAUUCACUU